RNAcentral lists this non-coding RNA (116 nucleotides) under Actinomycetota bacterium. Its description in RNAcentral is "Actinobacteria bacterium FMN sequence". It matches the Rfam family "FMN riboswitch aptamer (RFN element)". Rfam says of the family: The RFN element is a highly conserved domain that is found frequently in the 5'-untranslated regions of prokaryotic mRNAs that encode for flavin mononucleotide (FMN) biosynthesis and transport proteins. This element is a metabolite-dependent riboswitch that directly binds FMN in the absence of proteins. The record is from RNAcentral. Lineage: Bacteria; Bacillati; Actinomycetota.
GAAGGUCUUCGGGGCAGGGUGAAAACCCCGACCGGCGGUUAAAGUCCGCGAGCCGAAAGGCAGAGCCGGCGAAAUUCCGGCACCGACGGUUAAAGUCCGGAUGGGAGAAGGCCAAA